AGAUUAUUUAACUAUAUAAGUAUAUAUUUUGAAAAUAUAAAAAAGAAAGGAAUUUUCUAAUAAUCUU
RNAcentral lists this transfer RNA (67 nucleotides) under Ixodes holocyclus (paralysis tick). RNAcentral's name for it is "tRNA-Ser". Lineage: Eukaryota; Metazoa; Arthropoda; Arachnida; Ixodida; Ixodidae. The record is from RNAcentral.